CCCUCCCCCUCAAAAACACAUCUCUAAAAUCAUCUAUAUUGUUUUUAAAGAGGCUGCGUGCCAAUAAUUGGUGAAAAUAUCACCAAGUGUUGGAGAAUUUGACAUGCGCCAUCACUACGUGUUAUGGCGCUCGGAUUCAUCCACGUGUCGUCCCUCCCGCUCAAAAAUCAUCGAUGUUAUUUUUCAAGAGGCUGCGUGUUAUGCGAUGCUCAUGACGCCUUCACCAUGCUUAGGCGGUAGUGGGGAAGUUCGUACUCGGAAAAAAAAAAAAAAAA
This 275-nucleotide unclassified non-coding RNA is filed under the name Helichrysum cymosum. RNAcentral's name for it is "26S-18S external transcribed spacer 1". The record is from RNAcentral. Lineage: Eukaryota; Viridiplantae; Streptophyta; Magnoliopsida; Asterales; Asteraceae.